GUAACGGCCCACCAAGGCGACGAUCGGUAGCCGGACUGAGAGGUUGAACGGCCACAUUGGGACUGAGACACGGCCCAGACUCCUACGGGAGGCAGCAGUGGGGAAUAUUGCACAAUGGGGGAAACCCUGAUGCAGCGACGCCGCGUGGAGGAAGAAGGUCUUCGGAUUGUAAACUCCUGUUGUUGAGGAAGAUAAUGACGGUACUCAACAAGGAAGUGACGGCUAACUACGUGCCAGCAGCCGCGGUAAAACGUAGGUCACAAGCGUUGUCCGGAAUUACUGGGUGUAAAGGGAGCGCAGGCGGGCGAUCAAGUUGGAAGUGAAAUCCAUGGGCUCAACCCAUGAACUGCUUUCAAAACUGGUCGUCUUGAGUAGUGCAGAGGUAGGCGGAAUUCCCGGUGUAGCGGUGGAAUGCGUAGAUAUCGGGAGGAACACCAGUGGCGAAGGCGGCCUACUGGGCACCAACUGACGCUGAGGCUCGAAAGUGUGGGUAGCAAACAGGAUUAGAUACCCUGGUAGUCCACACCGUAAACGAUGAUUACUAGGUGUUGGGAGAUUGACCCUCUCAGUGCCGCAGUUAACACAAUAAGUAAUCCACCUGGGGAGUACGACCGCAAGGUUGAAACUCAAAGGAAUUGACGGGGGCCCGCACAAGCAGUGGAGUAUGUGGUUUAAUUCGACGCAACGCGAAGAACCUUACCAAGUCUUGACAUCCUCUGACGAACGUAGAAAUACGUUUUCUCUUCGGAGCAGAGAGACAGGUGGUGCAUGGUUGUCGUCAGCUCGUGUCGUGAGAUGUUGGGUUAAGUCCCGCAACGAGCGCAACCCUUAUGGUCAGUUACUACGCAAGAGGACUCUGGCCAGACUGCCGUUGACAAAACGGAGGAAGGUGGGGAUGACGUCAAAUCAUCAUGCCCUUUAUGACUUGGGCUACACACGUACUACAAUGGCGUUAAACAAAGAGAAGCAAGACCGCAAGGUGGAGCAAAACUCAGAAACAACGUCCCAGUUCGGACUGCAGGCUGCAACUCGCCUGCACGAAGUCGGAAUUGCUAGUAAUCGUGGAUCAGCAUGCCACGGUGAAUACGUUCCCGGGCCUUGUACACACCGCCCGUCACACCAUGAGAGCCGGGGGGACCCGAAGUCGGUAGUCUAACCGCAAGGAGGACGCCGCCGAAGGUAAAACUGGUGAUUGGGGUGAAGUCGGAACAAGGUAGCCGUAGGAGUACCUGCGGCUG
RNAcentral lists this ribosomal RNA (1238 nucleotides) under metagenome. RNAcentral describes it as "bacterial SSU rRNA". It matches the Rfam family "Bacterial small subunit ribosomal RNA", at positions 257 to 1520 of the family's 1533-position model. The record is from RNAcentral.